This 953-nucleotide long non-coding RNA is filed under the name Citrus x clementina. Its description in RNAcentral is "Citrus clementina (C. clementina) long non-coding RNA (CCLE_LNC006482)". Lineage: Eukaryota; Viridiplantae; Streptophyta; Magnoliopsida; Sapindales; Rutaceae. The record is from RNAcentral.
UUUGUGCGGGUUUGGGUUUGGUAAUGACAAACCCGCUGCGGGCGGUGCCCAUUGCCAUCCCUACGUUAAGCUCUGCUUACCUGUUGAAUGUCUUUGACUUUUACCAAUGAAAAUAUUAACGGUGAGCCUACUUUUCGAAUUAAAGAAUCAAAAUUUGAAAUCAUAAUUAUUCACGGUAUUUAUUUCAUAAAAUAGAAGUUUAAAUCAGACUAGAAAUUAUGGGACUUACUACAAUUUGAGAAUAAAAAAUGAAAAAUUAAUUCUCAUGGGAGGUUGGGAUUGAGUCUCCCCUUCCCUAAACUUCCAAUUCUAUCCUCAUUUAGGUUUCAAUAUUUUCAAAAUACACUCGUUAAUAAUCAUUAUUAUUAUUAUUGUUGUUGUUGUUGUUGUUAUUAUUAUUGUUUUAAUAUUUUUUUAUUUUUUUAUUAAUAUUAACAUUGUUAAAUUUUUCUUAUUUUUAUUAAUUUAUUAAUUAUUUAUUAUUAUAAUUGUAGUUGGAGGAAAGCUAGCGAAUUGGGUUGAGUUGAAACGGUUAUAGGAUGGAGCUUAUGAGGCGGCAUUAUCAUUGUAAGAGGGACUCAUGUGCGGUGAAAGGUCGGUUGGCAGAGUCCGGCGAGUUUGGUGGGUUGACUCAAUAGGUUCGUUAGGCCAACUCAUGGUUAAGGCGAUGGCUGUGACAAAAAACAAAGAGAUUAAGCUAAGUUAAAAAUGAAGCGUACGCAAAAACAAGUAGUGGUUUCUGUAUGAGAAGAGAAGAAAGCGUAACGACGAAGGUAUGGAUUUUGCAAAAAGAUGAAUAACGUUUGUUAGUUUUUACAGACCUUAUAAGGGUGCGUUUGAGAUUGAGAUUAAGUAGCUGUAGUUUAAAAGUUAUAAUAUUAAAAUAUUUGGUAAACACUAGUUGUUGUACCUUAGAAGUUAUGUUAAUAAUAUAUUUCACUUAUAUGAUAAAA